GGGUGAGUAACGCGUAUGCAACCUGCCCGUUUCAGCGGGAUAACCCGGAGAAAUCCGGCCUAAUACCGCAUGUGGCCGAGGGGAGGCAUCUUCUUUCGGCCAAAGGAGGCAACUCCGGAGACGGAUGGGCAUGCGUGACAUUAGCUUGUUGGCGGGGUAACGGCCCACCAAGGCGACGAUGUCUAGGGGUUCUGAGAGGAAGGUCCCCCACACUGGUACUGAGACACGGACCAGACUCCUACGGGAGGCAGCAGUGAGGAAUAUUGGUCAAUGGGCGAGAGCCUGAACCAGCCAAGUCGCGUGAAGGAUGACGGCCCUACGGGUUGUAAACUUCUUUUGUCAGGGAGCAAUUGAGUCCACGUGUGGGCUUAGCGAGAGUACCUGAAGAAAAAGCAUCGGCUAACUCCGUGCCAGCAGCCGCGGUAAUACGGAGGAUGCGAGCGUUAUCCGGAUUUAUUGGGUUUAAAGGGUGCGUAGGCGGAAUAUCAAGUCAGCGGUAAAAAUUCGGGGCUCAACCCCGUCGUGCCGUUGAAACUGAUGUUCUUGAGUGGGCGAGAAGUAUGCGGAAUGCGUGGUGUAGCGGUGAAAUGCAUAGAUAUCACGCAGAACUCCGAUUGCGAAGGCAGCAUACCGGCGCCCAACUGACGCUGAAGCACGAAAGCGUGGGUAUCGAACAGGAUUAGAUACCCUGGUAGUCCACGCAGUAAACGAUGAAUGCUAAUUGUCCGGA
Molecule: ribosomal RNA, 730 nt
Filed under: uncultured bacterium
Lineage: Bacteria
Description: bacterial SSU rRNA
Rfam family: Bacterial small subunit ribosomal RNA
Source: RNAcentral